This 176-nucleotide non-coding RNA is filed under the name Chloroflexota bacterium. RNAcentral describes it as "Chloroflexi bacterium (oil production facility metagenome) 6S RNA". It matches the Rfam family "6S / SsrS RNA". From Rfam's summary of the family: E. coli 6S RNA was the first non coding RNA to be sequenced, but its function was unknown until recently. It consists of 184 nucleotides that fold into an extended hairpin structure with a large single-stranded internal bulge. The 6S RNA specifically associates with RNA polymerase holoenzyme containing the sigma70 specificity factor. Lineage: Bacteria; Bacillati; Chloroflexota. The record is from RNAcentral.
CGAUCCCUGCGAUGUUCGUGAUGCUCUGAUUGGUAUUGAGCCAACGGUUCUGUAUAGGGAGCCUAGUUCCAGUGGCGAGUUCUGUAUGGAUUGCUAUCUAUCUGAACCGCCGGACGGGCACCCACCUGCGAUUGCAGGUUCAUUACUAAGCGAGCACACGGCACCGCGGGGAUUCU